Long non-coding RNA from Taeniopygia guttata (zebra finch), 1736 nucleotides. RefSeq lists it as uncharacterized. NCBI's taxonomy places the organism in Eukaryota, Metazoa, Chordata, Aves, Passeriformes, Estrildidae. The record is from RefSeq and is a predicted model, not a curated record.
CGCUUUGAGGAACACCUAAAUCAUCCAAAGGAAAAAAAUUUAUAGCUUCUUAUCAGAAGAAAUUAAUUUCUUCAAGCCUUGCUCAGACUGGAAGACACCAGGGGAUUAAAGGAAACAGCUGACAUACAACAGACAGAGUUUCUUGUUUUAAAUAGAAUGUAUGCAUAACCAUAUAUGAAUAUGCAACAAGUGUAUUGUUUCAAGGGUGAUUCCUUUGUUCACAAGGGAUACUUUUUGUGACUUAGUGUCCCACAGCAUCCAGACAUCCGUAAUUCUUUGCCUUUUAUUGUCUUUUAAUUGUCCUAACUCUAAACUUUAUUACUCUAAUUGUAUUGCUAUUUUAAUAACCAUUUUAUUAUUAUUAAACUUUCAAAAAUUUUAAAAAACCAAGUGAUUUGCAUUUUUCCCAGGAUAAAGGGAAGAACCCUUGCCCACCCUGGGGCCAUCCUGCUGCCCUUGGUGGCCGUGCCCAGGAGGAGAUGACUGUCCCUUGCUGGUGGCAGUGAAUUAAAGCAGGGUGGCUUUUGCCAAGGACCUUUUUUUUAUUGAGGCAGCGAAGCACAAAUCAUCUCCAGGAGUUUGACUGGUUAAAAAUGAGAAGAUCUGAAAGUUGUUGCAAUUGGGACUGACUCUGCUGAAGGAAUGAAAAAUUGGGCUGGAUUUUCCAACGUGUCCUUGCAAGGCCAUUGCUGUGACCUGGUGGAGACUUCCAAGGGCUUGGCCAUGGUCCAGGUGUGAGGCUGAGAGCUCCAAAAUGCCCCUGGGAGGUCCUGGCUCAGCAUCACCUGGCUACUGGUGCAAAGCAAGGCCACCAACACCAACACCAGGAGCUCAGGGCUUGUUCUGCAAGGGAGGAACCAGAUUUGGGACCUGGUGACUGCAGAGAGCUACACUGACCCAUUUUCCUCUGGCUGGUGGAUACAGGCACUGGGAAAAGCUCCAUAGCAACUGGAUGUGCACAGUCUAAUGAUGAAAUAAAUCCCCACGGUGCUCCCUUGUGAAGAUAAAUGGAUCCAGGAUGUUUCCCCCCUCGCAGCCAUUAGGAAAGGUCUAUAUUUAGAAGGUCCUGUCCCACUUUGCCGUGUGCCAAACAGCAGCACAGCCUGGGCAAGGGCAGUGAGUGGGAUGAGCAAGUCCAGGACAACACAUGGAACAUCCUUCCAGGAAGCUUUGGCAGCAUGAGGAAUCUUGCUGGUUAUCCCAUGGCAUUUUGGGUGGGCGUUUUUCCCUCCCAAAACCAGUGCCAGGCACUCCUGAUGGUGGUGGUGGCAUUUCACACCCACUUGAAUUGUGCACCCAACAGCCCCAUCCCAGGUGUUAAUCCCAAAAGGAGGGACAGAUCCAGCAGUGCUGUUGGAUCCGUGAGUGUCACCCCUGGAAGAUCUCAGAAAAACAAGGCAGCAGCAGCAGAGCUGUGUUAUUGAGAAUAUUUUGGGUUCUUUCCUGGUUGUCUUUUCUUUAAGCUCUCCACAGCAGCUCAGGUCAGCUCUUAUUACCUUCGGCUGUCCCUCCUGUCCCCUGGCACAGAGCACUGAGACACAGACAGUGAGAACUUUGAGAUGGCACGAUAAAUAAAAUAGAUGCUGUUAUUGCAGCCCUCUCCUGUUUGCUGCUGCCAUGGUUUCUCAUCUCUUCUCUGACUUAUUGCUGAUGUCUCCUGUCAGCCCAGCUUGCCUCUCUCGGAGAUGUGAUUUAUGGGCCAGGGAGGCAGAGCAGAAACACGGCAAAAUUGCAAA